This 525-nucleotide long non-coding RNA is filed under the name Zea mays. RNAcentral's name for it is "drought responsive lncRNA". The record is from RNAcentral. Lineage: Eukaryota; Viridiplantae; Streptophyta; Magnoliopsida; Poales; Poaceae.
UGUCAGGUCAAUUUUGCUAUAUAAUAUAAUUUUUCUUAAACUUUAAUAAUAUUUUGCUAAAAGAUUUAUAAAUUUUAUCGGGUCGGUUGACCCAAUAAACCCUCUAAAUUCGCCCCUGUCGGCGCUCAGCCCCUCACCUAUGGACAUGUAAAAUUGAAGUAGCAAGCAUAAAGAGAAACUGAAAGAUAUGACAAACAAGUUCAGGGAGUGUCGUGUUCAAUCCUUCAACUUCAAGGCGACAAAAACGAAGCACUGCAACUCAAAUACAUAAAAAAAACUGUCAAAAUAAAAGUAGAACUACGUACGUACCGUAUGAGAAUGUUUCAUGAGUGCGCUGCGCAUCGAUCGAUCCAUGCGUCUCCAAAGUCCAAAUAAAGUGAUGCACCCUUUAUCUAAUACGUAAUGCAUGCGAUUGAUGCAUGCAUGAACUAACUAUUCACAAAAUCACAAGACUACUAGGGCCAGUCGGUCUGCUGCUUCUGCACCACCACCUUAUCUGACCCCCAGUUGCGCACCGUGCUGAGC